UACGGAGGGUGCAAGCAUUAAUCGGAUUUAUUGGGCGUAAAGGGCGCGUAGGCGGGUUUUUAAGUCAGAUGUGAAAUUCCAGAGCUCAACUCUGGAGCUGCAUUUGAAACUGAAAGUCUUGAGGAUGGGCGGAGAAAAUGGAAUUCCACGUGUAGCGGUGAAAUGCGUAGAUAUGUGGAAGAACACCGGUGGCGAAAGCGAUUUUCUAGCUUAUAACUGACGCUGAGGCGCGAGAGCAAGGGGAGCAAACAGG
Molecule: ribosomal RNA, 253 nt
Filed under: uncultured bacterium
Lineage: Bacteria
Description: partial 16S ribosomal RNA
Rfam family: Bacterial small subunit ribosomal RNA
Source: RNAcentral